This 112-nucleotide ribosomal RNA is filed under the name Bacteroidales bacterium. The record is from RNAcentral. Lineage: Bacteria; Pseudomonadati; Bacteroidota; Bacteroidia; Bacteroidales.
UAAGGUGACUAUAGCGGCAGGGUCCACCUCUUCCCAUUCCGAACAGAGUCGUUAAGCCUGCCAGCGCAGAUGGUACUGGGGUAAAACCCGGGAGAGUAUGUCGUCGCCACCU